AAAAAAAGAAAGAGCGAGGAAAUUGCGCGGAGACAAAGAAAUCCCACGUGGGUGGAUCCCACGACAAAGACGAUAACAAAGUACUUCAAGUAACGCGUCGCAGAUGGGAAGGAAGGAAAAACAUAAAAGGCCAAAAAACGCUGACACACAUCGGCGAAAAGACGCUGACGUAAAAAAUGACGUCAGGAAAGAAAGCAACUGAUAUUUAAGACGGGACCUGAUGUGGUGUGAACACGUGCAACCCCACACAUCGGGCUAUAAAAACUCAAACUCAAACUCAAUUGAUGCUGGUUCCUCCAAUUCCAGAACUUACCUGCUCAUCUCAUCUCUCUGGUGAAACCCUAGCGCUGUCUUUGACAUAAACGCUAGAACCUUCUCUCUUCUCAGCUCUAAUCCUCUGCCAAAAUCUCGAACCCAAAAGCGGUGGAACUUCGGUCGACAGACCUGGUGACAAGAGAGACAACCAGAGAAGGCGGUUGAGAUCUUAUACAGCCAGCCAGAGAACAAAACUGAAAAGAUCUUCCGGAUUGAUUGAGUAGACCUACGAGAAUCCCAUUUAAGGCAAACAUCUCAAUUUGUAGGACUACGAUGUGAGCAGACAAUUGUAGAAUCUAAUGACUACUCCCAACAAUUAAUACUGCUAAACAUAAAAGAACUCGAUGAUCUAUUGAACAAUGAUCUUUAUUUCUACAGAGAAGCUAUAUACGAGCUUUCAUAAAGGGUUACAGGCGACAACUUCAAGGCAUGCUUCCCCGCAAAGAAAACUUUCUGCUGCUCCAUCGAGUCGUUGCUUAAGUACCAUUCUGAAGGGUGUCAGCAACGGUGAGCCUGUGAUUCUGAACUAAUUUCGAAACAACCAAACCGAAUAGGUAUGCGAUGGGCAAGAGGGACAGUUUCAUAGGAUUAAUUGCAUGGCGAUGAAUGAAAUGAUACUGCACUGCCGAGCAAAUGCAUUGAGCAAUGCCAAGACUUAAUCCAGUAAUUUCGGCGAAUGAACCAAAAAGUUUGUUAUUUGGAGGUGGAUAGUAAAAGCACCAUAGCAUUCCCCUCCUCCUCAAUACAACUCUUUCCUUUUUACCAUUGUGAACAAGCUCCCAGAUGCAAACAAGUACUGCCACGAUUGCCAACAGCAUACCAAUUAGUGCAUAGUGAGGCUUACCGGGGGAGGAAACCUGAUCAAAAAAAGCAGACAGACUCUCGAUGGCAAAGCUAGUGUAUAACACGAUCCGCUCUGAUGAAGUAGCCUGCAUAAGUUAUACCAACUUCAAUUCAGUUCUUUUUUUUUUUUUUUUUUUUUUGAGAAAAUUGAGGCAUUGGUUCCUUAAUUUUAAUUCAACUACAGUAACGAUCUUUCAACUAAAAAUCUAUGGUGAUUUAUCUCUUCACCCAUGAAAACGUGUAGCUAUGAUUUUUUUACCAACUCUAUCUAAAUUUCGUUAUAAUGAGUCA
Pyrus x bretschneideri (Chinese white pear) is the source of this 1449-nucleotide long non-coding RNA. RefSeq lists it as uncharacterized. The record is from RefSeq and is a predicted model, not a curated record. The transcript is spliced from 2 exons. Lineage: Eukaryota; Viridiplantae; Streptophyta; Magnoliopsida; Rosales; Rosaceae.